This is a non-coding RNA of Doryrhamphus excisus (bluestripe pipefish), 1469 nucleotides long. Lineage: Eukaryota; Metazoa; Chordata; Actinopteri; Syngnathiformes; Syngnathidae. The record is from RefSeq and is a predicted model, not a curated record.
CAGCUAAACAACACAAGCUUAAUUUAACGGUCCACUAUAUUAGUGUGGAUCGUUUUAUUUGCCCAGAAUGUUGUUUAUUUAAUGAGCUCAGACUUACCUUUUAUUUUGACCCAAUCCCAUCAGGUGUUGUCAGCUAGCAAGUGAGGCUAACGUGAGUUAGCUAAAAUCGCCCCUAGCAUCUCUCUGCCCCGCCGAAGAUAAGCUGACUGGGUUGAUUCUAUUAUUCAUUUUCUGUAUUUUGUAUUUUUCUUUUAAAUUAACUUUAUCGUCACCACAUCUAUUUAUUUGAUUUGAACACCAAUUUAUACCAUCUUGAAAAAGCUAGCUUAGCGACGAGCUGUCGUCUACUGACACAUGCGUCUCACCAGACGUUCUCCAGCAAAGACGGAGAACCUUGAGGAGUUGGUUUGAAAGCAGAGGAAGUGCUGACCGGACAUGUGGGCUGUGAAGCUGAAUUUAGCGACGAUGCCGAAGCGCUUGGUCAUCAAAAGCUGCCGAGAGGAGUUUCUUUACCUCGUGGUUUGGGUCUUUGACCGUCACAGUGACACCGAGGUGAGGAGAGUGGGUGGAGGACUUUGAGUCCCACGGCGCCAGCAGGAAAUGUCCUAAGGAUAAAAGGGCUCACCUGUCACCAGCAUGUCUUCAGGAAUCUCCUCAAUGAUGCAUCUUUCCUCCUGCUCGCCCAGAUCAAAAUACAUGGCCGAUGCCAACAUUAGGAGCUCUGAAAGACCUGGGUUUGAAUCUGCGCUUGGGCAUCCCUGUGUGGAGUUUGCAGAAUCUCCCUCCUCCCGGUUUCCUUCCACAUUCCAAAAACAUCCCACGACCCAGGUGAGAAUCAGGGACAUAGUAAAUGGAUGGAUCUUAAUGAGUUUCAAAUGCAAAAACAAGAAAUGGGAGUGAAACAAAACACAAAAUUGUUUUGAGUAUGCUUGAUGCUAGCGUUUCCAGGAGGCUAGUGGGAAGUGGUAAAGAUGGCUCCACUGUCUGGAACUGAUGUUCCUUUGAUUAAACGUCUUUUGCCAUACAUCCCUAAAUGUUCUCAAUUGGGUUCUCAAUCAGGGAAACAUGCAGGAUGGUCCAAAAGUGUGACGUUGUUCCUCUGGAAGAAGUCAUUACCACACAGACGAGGGCCUCUAGUAAUAUGGGAUGCCUCCUGCAACAUUUCCACACGCAGUUUGACACCCCUAACAUGAAGCUCCAUUGUUCCAUUGAAGGAAAAAGAACCAGAUACUGUAAUGAUUGUACCGACUCCACUGUGACAUAUCUCAGUGGGAUCUCCUUGCCAUGCCAGGAACAUUGAAAGGCAUCAUGGCAUCAGGGCUGUCAAGGUUACCAACAUUUUCUUGCGCCUGUCUUAGUGCUUGCAACCUCAGCAGCCAUGGUGCGCUGCGAGAGGCCUUGCUUAUGCAGCUCAAAAGCUUGUUUGCCUUUGCCACCAAGAGAUCAUGAUGGUGUGAAUACAUGAUAAA